AUCCAACUGAUUAGUCCCAAAUAGGACGAAAUGCACUUUGUCCUGGAU
RNAcentral lists this non-coding RNA (48 nucleotides) under Schistosoma bovis. Lineage: Eukaryota; Metazoa; Platyhelminthes; Trematoda; Strigeidida; Schistosomatidae. The record is from RNAcentral. RNAcentral also lists the same sequence under 2 other names.